RNAcentral lists this long non-coding RNA (912 nucleotides) under Vigna radiata. RNAcentral describes it as "long non-coding RNA (VRAD_LNC011753)". The record is from RNAcentral. Lineage: Eukaryota; Viridiplantae; Streptophyta; Magnoliopsida; Fabales; Fabaceae.
CCGCAUCACACGGUCGAAAGAGUCAUCACUAGCAAAUCAUCAUCGUCCACACUCCUAUCCUCACUCUCACGUAACAUCCUAUUAAUUUCUUUCCCGCAUCACACGGCCGAAAGAGUCAUCACUAGCAAAUCAUCAUCGUCCACACUCCUAUCCUCACUCUCACGUAACAUCCUAUUAAAUCCAUGGUUCCUCGCUCAACACAUCCCUCAUCACCCCAAAUUUUACAAGCAGAGGAAAAACAACACCAUCCACAUACAAUGCAACACAUAAUAAUAAAUAACAUACAAUACCAUACACUACAAACACAAGAUAAUUCUAGCCACUCCCCUUACCUUACAUACACAAGAUAAUUCUAGAUUACUCCCCUUACCCUACAUACACAAGAUAAUUCUAGUCACUCCCCUUACCUGGUCACGUAAUAUUUUUGUUUCCAAGAUCACGAAGAAAGCUUCAUAACUUCACAACUUCUUGGCUCUAUUUUCUCUUAGAAAACGUCUUUUCUCUCCCUUAUAUUUCUAAUUUUCGUUUUUUCCUCUUAGGGUACCAAAAUGCCAACCCCUUUUUAUUCUUCUCCUUUUUAUUCUCUUUUUUUCUAUCUCUAUCUUUUUAAUAUUUAUAAAAUCUCUCAGUUUAUAUCUAAAACCACUAAGAUUUCUUCUUUUAUUCUCUCUUAACUACAUUUUUAAAAUAUCAUCAACCACCAAAUCUUUUUAAAAUCUACAAUAUCUAAUAAUGUUUUUCUCUAAUAAUAAUAAUUCUUUUAAUCUUUAAACCCACCAUAUUAUAUCUCAUAUUUUCAUUUAACUAAUUUUUAAAAUAACAAUAACUAAAUCUUCUAAAAGAUUUACAUAAUAUUAUUUUAUUAAAUAUCUAGAUUAUCUUAAUUUGCAUACUUUUCCUUUCUACACCCUC